Mytilus californianus (California mussel) is the source of this 472-nucleotide long non-coding RNA. RefSeq lists it as uncharacterized. The transcript has 2 exons. The record is from RefSeq and is a predicted model, not a curated record. NCBI's taxonomy places the organism in Eukaryota, Metazoa, Mollusca, Bivalvia, Mytilida, Mytilidae.
AGUGCACACGCUGAAAUGUCUCGCCUUCUUUACUAAUCAUUGAUAUUAUGUUGAUAGUCCUAAAUAUAAAGCUUUAUUACAACUGCCACAUAAACUUAACAUUAACCAAGUAAACUAAACAUUGACCAAUGAACCAUGAAAAUGAGGUCAAGGUCAGAUGAACCAUGCUAGGCAGGCAUGUACAGCUAACAAUUCUUCCAUACUACAAAUUUAACUGACCUAUUGCUUAUAGUUUAAGAAAAACAGACCAAAACACAAAAACUUAACACUAAGCAAUGAACCUUGAAAAUGAGGUCAAGGUCACAUAAAACCUGCGUGACUGACAUUUAGAUCAUAAAAUAUUUUCAUACACCAAAUAUAGCUGAACUAUUGCAUAUAGUAUUAGAAAAACAGACCAAAACACAAAAACUUAACUUUGACCACUGAACCAUGAAAAUGAGGUCAAGGUCAGAUGACACCUGCCAGCUAGACA